CCGUAGGUGAACCUGCGGAGGGGAUCAUUAC
Molecule: ribosomal RNA, 31 nt
Filed under: Trichoderma sp. GJS 00-162
Lineage: Eukaryota; Fungi; Ascomycota; Sordariomycetes; Hypocreales; Hypocreaceae
Description: partial 18S ribosomal RNA
Source: RNAcentral